This 252-nucleotide ribosomal RNA is filed under the name uncultured bacterium. RNAcentral describes it as "partial small subunit ribosomal RNA". It matches the Rfam family "Bacterial small subunit ribosomal RNA", at positions 26 to 278 of the family's 1533-position model. The record is from RNAcentral.
AGGACGAACGCUGGCGGCGUGCUUAACACAUGCAAGUCGAGCGGUAAGGCCUCCUUCGGGGGGUACACGAGCGGCGAACGGGUGAGUAACACGUGGGUGACCUGCCCUCAGCUCUGGGAUAAGCCUGGGAAACCGGGUCUAAUGCCGGAUGGGACUGCUUGCCGCAUGGUGGGUGGUGGAAAGUUUUUUCGGCUGGGGAUGGGCCCGCGGCCUAUCAGCUUGUUGGUGGGGUGAUGGCCUACCAAGGCGGUG